This 156-nucleotide ribosomal RNA is filed under the name Triticum aestivum (bread wheat). RNAcentral describes it as "partial small subunit ribosomal RNA". The record is from RNAcentral. Lineage: Eukaryota; Viridiplantae; Streptophyta; Magnoliopsida; Poales; Poaceae.
GCCUGUUAUCUCUAUCAAGAUGAUUCUAAUUCAUCAGAUAUUAUUUAUUCUAGUAUCUGGAACACGAAAUAGAUAGAGCGGAUAAAAAAUGGAACUAUGAUUCAUACUCACUAUUAAGACCUUGCAACCCGACUGGAAAAUUCAAGUAGUUCUUAA